UUCCUCCUAUCUACGGCACUAAAAAAUUUGAUUUUUGUAGAUUUUCGCCUAAGAUUAAAAGGAAGUGAAGGUCGGUUUUAUGCGGUGGCAAUGAUUAAAAGGUUACUAUUUUAAUUCUCGUGGCUUCAUUAUUUGCUGUUUUAGUCGCCAGUCAGUGCUUUUGCUCUGCGUUGUGCUUUGGCUCCAUUCGUAGUCAUUGUAGCACGUGUUAGAUUCGCUAUUGGUAUACAUUGAUUUUAUUAAUUUUAGUAAUUAAUACUUGAUUUUAAGACUUGGAUAAUCUCUUAUGAUGAAUUUAAGCAAUCGGGGAUUCAAUGUUGAAAUAUUUGAAACCCCAUCUUCCUGAUGUAAUUCUGGGUCGCAAUGUACAGCUUGAAAAAUUUCCAGGAUUUAAAAUUAAAUGUUUAAUGGAGAAAAUAAACGAGUUUAGUGGAUUUGGUGUGAUUGUUCUACAUAUUGGUUCUAUCGAUUGCUCUGUGAAUGGUAGAGCCAAUAUAACAGUAUGAAAGAUUAAGAAAUUUUGUUGAACAAUCCUAGAAGGGUCUGUUCUUUUCAUUAUUCUGAGGAGAGUCGCAGAGCCAAAUUUACAAGCAUUUACUUAGCCUAGUGAUGAAAACUGGAGCAGCCUGUCAUUAUUAAACAUCUUGCCUGUCCUGGGUGAUGAAAGUUGGUUCAAUCAGCUGUAUAUUCAAAUCUGUUUAAUUUCUGAAAGAAGAGCAUGUUUAAAACUUCAGUGUUACCUUUUGAAGGGCAACAGUGUUUUUAGAAUGUCUUUGUAUGUCAUGUAUAUAAUAAAACUAUUGUGUUUGGUUUCUGCUCAACAA
Non-coding RNA from Parasteatoda tepidariorum (common house spider), 824 nucleotides. Lineage: Eukaryota; Metazoa; Arthropoda; Arachnida; Araneae; Theridiidae. The record is from RefSeq and is a predicted model, not a curated record.